This 250-nucleotide ribosomal RNA is filed under the name uncultured prokaryote. RNAcentral's name for it is "partial 16S ribosomal RNA". It matches the Rfam family "Bacterial small subunit ribosomal RNA", at positions 524 to 775 of the family's 1533-position model. The record is from RNAcentral.
UACGGAAGGUCCGGGCGUUAUCCGGAUUUAUUGGGUUUAAAGGGAGCGCAGGCCGUUUGCUAAGCGUGCCGUGAAAUGUACCGGCUCAACCGGUGAGUUGCGGCGCGAACUGGCGGACUUGAGUGCGUACGAGGAUGGCGGAAUUCGUGGUGUAGCGGUGAAAUGCUUAGAUAUCACGAAUAACUCCGAUUGCGAAGGCAGCUGUCCAGUCCGUAACUGACGCUAAUGCUAAGGUGCGGGUAUCGAACAG